RNAcentral lists this ribosomal RNA (456 nucleotides) under Ucides cordatus. Its description in RNAcentral is "partial 16S ribosomal RNA". It matches the Rfam family "Bacterial large subunit ribosomal RNA", at positions 1856 to 2549 of the family's 2925-position model. The record is from RNAcentral. Lineage: Eukaryota; Metazoa; Arthropoda; Malacostraca; Decapoda; Ocypodidae.
AGCCUGCCCACUGAUAAUAGUGUUUUAAAGGGCCGCGGUAAUUUGACCGUGCAAAGGUAGCAUAAUCGUUAGUUUUUUAAUUGGAAUCUUGUAUGAAUGGUUUGACAAAAGAAAAUCUGUCUCUAUCUUUUUCUUUGAAUUUAACUUUUAAGUGAAAAGGCUUAAAUAGUUUAAAAAGACGAUAAGACCCUAUAAAGCUUUAUAAAUUGUUUGUUAUUAAGCUGAAUUGGUAAAUAAUAGUUUAGUAAGGGAAGUUUAUUUUAUUGGGGUGAUAGUGGUAAAAUGUUUAUUAACUGUUAAAAUUUUAAGACAAAUAUAGUUGAGUAAAGUUGUAUAAAUUGAUCCUGAAAUACAGAUUAAAAGUUUAAGUUACUUUAGGGAUAACAGCGUUAUUUUUUUUGAGAGUUCAUAUCGAAAAAAAAGUUUGCGACCUCGAUGUUGAAUUAAAAUGUCUGU